Molecule: ribosomal RNA, 1037 nt
Filed under: Halomonas sp.
Lineage: Bacteria; Pseudomonadati; Pseudomonadota; Gammaproteobacteria; Oceanospirillales; Halomonadaceae
Description: bacterial SSU rRNA
Rfam family: Bacterial small subunit ribosomal RNA
Source: RNAcentral
GGUUGUAAAGCACUUUCAGCGAGGAAGAACGCCUAGCGGUUAAUACCCGCUAGGAAAGACAUCACUCGCAGAAGAAGCACCGGCUAACUCCGUGCCAGCAGCCGCGGUAAUACGGAGGGUGCAAGCGUUAAUCGGAAUUACUGGGCGUAAAGCGCGCGUAGGUGGCUUGAUAAGCCGGUUGUGAAAGCCCCGGGCUCAACCUGGGAACGGCAUCCGGAACUGUCAAGCUAGAGUGCAGGAGAGGAAGGUAGAAUUCCCGGUGUAGCGGUGAAAUGCGUAGAGAUCGGGAGGAAUACCAGUGGCGAAGGCGGCCUUCUGGACUGACACUGACACUGAGGUGCGAAAGCGUGGGUAGCAAACAGGAUUAGAUACCCUGGUAGUCCACGCCGUAAACGAUGUCGACCAGCCGUUGGGUGCCUAGCGCACUUUGUGGCGAAGUUAACGCGAUAAGUCGACCGCCUGGGGAGUACGGCCGCAAGGUUAAAACUCAAAUGAAUUGACGGGGGCCCGCACAAGCGGUGGAGCAUGUGGUUUAAUUCGAUGCAACGCGAAGAACCUUACCUACUCUUGACAUCCUGCGAAUUUGGUAGAGAUACCUUAGUGCCUUCGGGAACGCAGAGACAGGUGCUGCAUGGCUGUCGUCAGCUCGUGUUGUGAAAUGUUGGGUUAAGUCCCGUAACGAGCGCAACCCUUGUCCUUAUUUGCCAGCGCGUAAUGGCGGGAACUCUAAGGAGACUGCCGGUGACAAACCGGAGGAAGGUGGGGACGACGUCAAGUCAUCAUGGCCCUUACGAGUAGGGCUACACACGUGCUACAAUGGUCGGUACAAAGGGUUGCCAACUCGCGAGAGUGAGCCAAUCCCGAAAAGCCGAUCUCAGUCCGGAUCGGAGUCUGCAACUCGACUCCGUGAAGUCGGAAUCGCUAGUAAUCGUGGAUCAGAAUGCCACGGUGAAUACGUUCCCGGGCCUUGUACACACCGCCCGUCACACCAUGGGAGUGGACUGCACCAGAAGUGGUUAGCCUAACGCAAGAGGGCG